RNAcentral lists this transfer RNA (67 nucleotides) under Enteromius thysi. RNAcentral describes it as "tRNA-Cys". It matches the Rfam family "tRNA". From Rfam's summary of the family: Transfer RNA (tRNA) molecules are approximately 80 nucleotides in length. Their secondary structure includes four short double-helical elements and three loops (D, anti-codon, and T loops). The record is from RNAcentral. Lineage: Eukaryota; Metazoa; Chordata; Actinopteri; Cypriniformes; Cyprinidae.
AGCCCUGUGGUGUAUAACACAUCGGAUUGCAAAUCCUAAGAAGCAGACUAGUACUCUGCCGGGGCUU